GAUGAAGAACGUAGCGAAAUGCGAUAAGUAAUGUGAAUUGCAGAAUUCAGUGAAUCAUCGAAUCUUUGAACGCACAUUGCGCCCCCUGGUACUCCGGGGGGCAUGCCUGUUCGAGCGUCAUUUCACCACUCAAGCCUCGCUUGGUAUUGGGCAACGCGGUCCGCCGCGUGCCUCAAAUCGACCGGCUGGGUCUUCUGUCCCCUAAGCGUUGUGGAAACUAUUCGCUAAAGGGUGUUCGGGAGGCUACGCCGUAAAACAACCCCAUUUCUAAGGUUGACCUCGGAUCAGGUAGGGAUACCCGCUGAACUUAAGCAUAUCAAUAAGCGGAGGA
RNAcentral lists this unclassified non-coding RNA (331 nucleotides) under soil metagenome. RNAcentral describes it as "partial contains 5.8S ribosomal RNA, internal transcribed spacer 2, and large subunit ribosomal RNA". The stretch from base 1 to 120 matches the Rfam family "5.8S ribosomal RNA", at positions 35 to 154 of the family's 154-position model. The record is from RNAcentral.